RNAcentral lists this long non-coding RNA (1553 nucleotides) under Marmota monax (woodchuck). Lineage: Eukaryota; Metazoa; Chordata; Mammalia; Rodentia; Sciuridae. The record is from RNAcentral.
AAAAGAGGUCAGGGGGAGACACUGGCUGUCCUCUGCAGGGAUGUGGAGACCUUCGCUAUUUUCCCUGUGGGGAAGGCAUUGAUGGGGGCCAGAAUACAUAUGGCGGGCAGGAUGGGACUAUCUGAGUAGCGCACAUGAGAGAUGGUGGUCAUUUCCAAGGAGGUUGGAAAUAGGUGGACAGAUCAAAGGGACGAUUCCAAUGGAAUGUCUCGACGUCAUCUUCGUCUGCUAUUUGCUGGCCGGUACCUCUGAGUUAUUUUGAUCUUUAAGUGCUCUCAGACAAUAUUAAUUAUCAACUAUUGCGGGUGACAAGGAAAGGUAGAAUUAUUUGAUGUCAACAUCAAAGACCGUUGCAAUCAAGUACAAGUUUUGCCUAUUAAUAUGUCAUGUAGCCAGUAAAAUAGUCAUCGCUCUUUUAUAUAUUAAAUGCCACUUGACAACCCUCAAUUUAUUCCCUCUUUCCUUGUCUAUAACAUGUAGUACCUACCUCAGUGAUAAGAGAGACAAUAUAAAAUAUAAAAAGGUCUGGGGAUGGGGCUCAGUGGUUAAGUGCCCCUGGGUUCAAUCCCCGGUACCAAAGGGAAAAAAAAAAAAAAGAACUGGUUUUUCUUCCAUUUAUGCCCAGUCCAGUGAUACAUGCACAUCGCUAUGCACACAGCUCUGCUUCUCCUUGCCUCCACCCAGGACAGAGAGGGACUGAGCAAGGCCUGGACCCCUGACCCCGAUGCACCCAUUAUGGUAGAACUGAGCAGAACACUCUCCCUCUCCAGGCGAAUCCCAGAGCAUGGAGCCAGCACUGGACGGCCCAAGGAAUCCUGGCUUUGCCACUGGACCGCGAGGUGACAGUGCUAGUCUCUGCUUCUGUGACUCAGGCCGCUCCUGUGCAGCAUGGGAACAAUGACGGUACCACCUGAUAGGACAGAGUAAGCAAAACUGUCGGUGUCUGGCCCAGAGAAACUCUUGUCUGGAAAGAAAAAUCUAGAAAGCUCUGUUACACACGAUCUAUGGACCCCACAUCCCAGAGGUUACUUCUGUCCCCAAAGAGAAACUAAGUUCAGAACUUGUAGACCUUCUGGAGCCUGAUUUUCAGGACCACCCUGAAACCGCUGGAUACCCCAAACAAACUACCAGUCAGACCCUUAGCACAGGGCAGCCCCCUUCCAAGCCACCUCCCUCCUGUGGGCCUUUUUCUGAUCUUGUAUUUCUGGGCUUCUCUAUUAAAAGUAGAAGCAAAGAAUUCAGAAGGAGUUUAUUAUUCGAUGACUGAGUUGUGAGUUAGACUAUUAAAUAAAAUACAAUAGAUGGAGUAGGUAGGAUGUGAGGAGGCCAGGGACACUGGUAAAUGUGAAAUUUAGCAGCUACAUAGGAAAAAAAGUCAUAAAAUAAUAUUAACUGAGUAAGCAUCACACUGACCUGUCGUUCUAUUAUGACUUUAAUAUGAGAUACGUACAUUUUCUUCAUUAUACUUGUUACUCUCUGUUUUAGUCUGGUUAUAUUGAUGCUGUGACUAAAAGACCCGACCAGAACAACUGGAGAGGAAAAGUUGAUUUGGG